AAAAUAAUAAAUUUUAAUGACAUUCGUAGAGAAAUUAAAUAGUCAUAGAAACAGGACUAACCGAUGAAAAGGUGUCGAACUUUUGAGUCUCACAAAUGGUUGCAUUGAUAUCUCCAUGUAGCAGAAAUUGUGCCAUCACUUAUACCUGCAAGUAAAGAUGAUGCAAUUAAAGUUCAAAAGAAAGCAGGCUAAGGUUUAGAAUAACUAGAUGGCCAUGAAAAUUAAAUCAAACUUGAAAAGAAAAUAAGAAAAGAUUGUGAGAGUAGUUCAGACUUGGGACUUGGGAGAGUUGAGA
RNAcentral lists this long non-coding RNA (295 nucleotides) under Arachis ipaensis. RNAcentral describes it as "long non-coding RNA (AIPA_LNC001603)". Lineage: Eukaryota; Viridiplantae; Streptophyta; Magnoliopsida; Fabales; Fabaceae. The record is from RNAcentral.